RNAcentral lists this ribosomal RNA (250 nucleotides) under uncultured bacterium. RNAcentral's name for it is "partial 16S ribosomal RNA". It matches the Rfam family "Bacterial small subunit ribosomal RNA", at positions 779 to 1032 of the family's 1533-position model. The record is from RNAcentral.
UAGAUACCCUGGUAGUCCGCACAGUAAACGAUGGAUGCUCGCUGUUGGCCUUUGUGGUCAGUGGCUUAGCGAAAGCGUUAAGCAUCCCACCUGGGGAGUACGCCGGCAACGGUGAAACUCAAAGGAAUUGACGGGGGCCCGCACAAGCGGAGGAACAUGUGGUUUAAUUCGAUGAUACGCGAGGAACCUUACCCGGGCUUGAACUGCAGCUGAACGAUUCAGAGAUGAUGAGGCCCUUCGGGGCAGCUGU